This 253-nucleotide ribosomal RNA is filed under the name uncultured bacterium. RNAcentral describes it as "partial 16S ribosomal RNA". It matches the Rfam family "Bacterial small subunit ribosomal RNA", at positions 524 to 776 of the family's 1533-position model. The record is from RNAcentral.
UACGUAGGGUGCAAGCGUUGUCCGGAAUUAUUGGGCGUAAAGAGCUCGUAGGCGGUUUGUCGCGUCGAAUGUGAAAACCCGGGGCUCAACUCCGGGCCUGCAUUCGAUACGGGCAGACUAGAGUUCGGUAGGGGAGACUGGAAUUCCUGGUGUAGCGGUGAAAUGCGCAGAUAUCAGGAGGAACACCGAUGGCGAAGGCAGGUCUCUGGGCAACUACUGACGCUGAGGAGCGAAAGCGUGGGGAGCGAACAGG